Podarcis lilfordi (Lilford's wall lizard) is the source of this 2208-nucleotide non-coding RNA. NCBI's taxonomy places the organism in Eukaryota, Metazoa, Chordata, Lepidosauria, Squamata, Lacertidae. The record is from the annotation of a GenBank genome assembly.
UUACUAUACAGCGGAAAGGAGCAGCCAAGCAUACUAGGACUCAAUUUCUUGACUUUAAGAAAGCUGACUUCAUAAAACUUAGGGAAGUGCUGGGUGAGAUCCCAUGGACAGUAAUACUAAAAGGAAAGGGAGUUCAUGAUGGCUGGGAGUUUGUUAAGAGGGAGAUACUAAAAGCACAACGUCAGGCAAUACCAAUGAGACAGAAACAUGGAAGGUGCCUAAAGAAGCCAGGGUGGCUAUGUAAAGAACUUUUAACUGAGUUAAGAUUAAAAAAGGAUGUGUACAAAAAAUGGAAAAGGGGGGAAACCACCAAAGAGGAAUUCAAACAAAUAGCCAGCACGUGUAGACACAAAGUCAGAAAAGCUAAAGCACAGAAUGAACUCAGGCUUGCUAGAGAGGUUAAAAGCAACAAAAAAGGCUUUUAUGGGUAUGUCCGUAGCAAAAGGAAGAACAAAGAAACAGUGGGGUCACUCAGAGGAGAAGAUGGUGAAAUGCAAACAGGGGACACAGAAAGGGCUGAACUCCUCAAUGCCUUCUUUGCCUCAGUCUUCUCCGAUAAAGAAAACAAUGCCCGACCUGAAGAAUUUGGAGCAAAUGAUUCAGCAAAGGAAACACAGCCCAGAAUAACUAAGGACAUAGUACAAGAAUACUUGGCUAGUUUAGAUGUAUUCAAGUCUCAAGGGCCAGAUGAACUGCAUCCAAGAGUAUUAAAAGAACUGGCAGAUGUGAUCUCAGAACCACUGGCAGUCAUCUUUGAGAAUUCCUGGAGAACAGGCGAAGUCCCGGCAGACUGGAGGAGGGCAAAUGUUGUCCCUAUUUUCAAAAAGGGGAAAAGAGAGGACCCAAAUAAUUACCGCCCAGUCAGUCUGACAUCAAUACCAGGGAAGAUUCUGGAGCAGAUCAUUAAGCAAACAGUCUGUGAGCACCUAGAAAGGAAUGCUGUGAUCACCAACAGUCAGCAUGGAUUUCUGAAAAAUAAGUCAUGUCAGACUAACCUGAUCUCGUUUUUGACAGAAUUACAAGCCUGGUAGAUGAAGGGAACGCAGUGGAUGUAGCCUACCUUGAUUUCAGCAAGGCAUUUGACAAGGUGCCCCAUGAUAUUCUUGUAAAGAAGCUGGUAAAAUGCGGUCUUGACUAUGCUACCACUCAGUGGAUUUGUAACUGGCUGACUGACCGAACCCAAAGGGUGCUCAUCAAUGGUUCCUCUUCAUCCUGGAGAAGAGUGACUAGUGGGGUGCCACAGGGUUCUGUCCUGGGCCCGGUCUUAUUCAACAUCUUUAUCAACGACUUGGAUGAUGGACUCAAGAGCAUCCUGAUCAAAUUUGCAGAUGACACCAAAUUGGGAGGGGUGGCUAACACCCCAGAGGACAGGAUCACACUUCAAAACGACCUUGACAGAUUAGAGAACUGGGCCAAAACAAACAAGAUGAAUUUUAACAGGGAGAAAUGUAAAGUAUUGCACUUGGGCAAAAAAAUGAGAGGCACAAAUACAAGAUGGGGACACCUGGCUUGAGAGUAGUACAUGUGAAAAGGAUCUAGGAGUCUUGGUUGACCACAAACUUGACAUGAGCCAACAGUGUGACGCGGCAGCUAAAAAAGCCAAUGCAAUUCUGGGCUGCAUCAAUAGGAGUAUAGCAUCUAGAUCAAGGGAAGUAAUAGUGCCACUGUAUUCUGCUCUGGUCAGACCUCACCUGGAGUACUGUGUCCAGUUCUGGGCACCACAGUUCAAGAAGGACAUUGACAAACUGGAACGUGUCCAGAGGAGGGCAACCAAAAUGGUCAAAGGCCUGGAAACGAUGCCUUAUGAGGAACGGCUAAGAGAGCUGGGCAUGUUUAGCCUGGAGAAGAGGAGGUUAAGGGGUGAUAUGAUAGCCAUGUUCAAAUAUAUAAAAGGAUGUCACAUAGAGGAGGGAGAAAGGUUGUUUUCUGCUGCUCCAGAGAAGCGGACACGGAGCAAUGGAUCCAAACUACAAGAAAGAAGAUUCCACCUAAACAUUAGGAAGAACUUCCUGACAGUAAGAGCUGUUCGACAGUGGAAUUUGCUGCCAAGGAGUGUGGUGGAGUCUCCUUCUUUGGAGGUCUUUAAGCAGAGGCUUGACAACCAUAUGUCAGGAGUGCUCUGAUGGUGUUCCUGCUUGGCAGGGGGUUGGACUCGAUGGCCCUUGUGGUCUCUUCCAACUCUAUGAUUCUAUGAUUCUAUGAUUCUAU